This 873-nucleotide ribosomal RNA is filed under the name Triticum aestivum (bread wheat). RNAcentral's name for it is "partial small subunit ribosomal RNA". Lineage: Eukaryota; Viridiplantae; Streptophyta; Magnoliopsida; Poales; Poaceae. The record is from RNAcentral.
AUGCCUCGUCUGUCCCUUGGCCCUCGUACUUGUAGUCGUUGUUGUAACGGGCCGGCUGGGCCCAGCCCUUCACUAACAGCCCAACAUAGCAAGGGGGCUGACAUCCCCUCCCCCUUAACAGCCGGCCCGACAGAUGUUGGACACUCGAAGAACGAUACGUUUAAAUAUCUUCGGGACCGAGUCUGGGAAAAGAUCAAAGGAUGGAUGGAGAAGUUACUGUCUUCUGCUGGCAAGGAAGUUUUAAUUAAAUCCAUAGCACAAGUGAUCCCCGUGUAUUCGAUGCCGUGUUUCAGAUUGCCAAGGGGUCUUUCUGACAGUAUCACUUCGAUUAUUCGACAGUUUUGGUGGGGUUCUAAGCAAGGGAAGAGGAAACCUAGCUGGGUAGCAUGGGAUAUCUUAACCAUGCCGAAGCAAUUGGGAGGCCUGGGUUUCCGAGACUUGGAAAUUUUCAACCUUGCAUUGUUAGCAAGGCAGGCGUGGCGCACACUCACAGAUGACACAUCUCUCAGCGCUCGAAUCCUCAAGGCGGUGUACUUCCCGGAAUGCUCUCUACUUCAAGCUGAACUUGGAGCACACCCUUCUCAGAUAUGGAGGGCGAUAUUGGAUGGGCGCGAUAUCCUAGCACAAGGUGUGGUGCGCAGAAUAGGAGAUGGUGAAUCAACGGAAAUAUGGCAACACAACUGGCUUCCUCGGGACAGUUUCAAGCGCCCUAUAACAUCUCUGGUCCCAAAUCCUCCUGAGAGACUGGCACAGCUCAUCGAUGGUACUUCUGCUUGCUGGAACGAGGGCUUGGUUCGAAUGGUGUUCACUCAUUUUGACGCCGAGGCAAUUCUGAAAAUCCCGCUGUGUACGCGCCGAGUCGAGGAUUUCUAG